GUCACGAGAAGAAAGGAGUGCUCUAAGAGUUGCUCUUACAAGAUUUGCCUUUUUCUAGCUUCAAUAGGCCUAAUAAGAGCAACUCCUAGAGCACUCAUUUCUUCUCGUGA
RNAcentral lists this microRNA precursor (110 nucleotides) under Corchorus capsularis. The record is from RNAcentral. Lineage: Eukaryota; Viridiplantae; Streptophyta; Magnoliopsida; Malvales; Malvaceae.